RNAcentral lists this ribosomal RNA (526 nucleotides) under uncultured bacterium. Its description in RNAcentral is "bacterial SSU rRNA". It matches the Rfam family "Bacterial small subunit ribosomal RNA", at positions 253 to 769 of the family's 1533-position model. The record is from RNAcentral.
UGGGGGUAACGGCCCACCAAGGCGACGAUCGGUAGCGGGGUCUGAGAGGACGACCCGCCACACUGGGACUGAGACACGGCCCAGACUCCUACGGGAGGCAGCAGUGGGGAAUAUUGGACAAUGGGCGCAAGCCUGAUCCAGCAAUGCCGCGUGGGUGAAGACGGCCUGCGGGUUGUAAAGCCCUUUAGGCGGGGAGGAACGACGGGACGCUAAUAUCGUUUCGAAGUGACGUUACCCGCGGAAUAAGCACCGGCUAACUCCGUGCCAGCAGCCGCGGUAAUACGGAGGGUGCGAGCGUUAAUCGGAAUUACUGGGCGUAAAGCGUGCGUAGGCGGAUGGGUCAGUCAGCCGUGAAAGCCCCGGGCUUAACCUGGGAACGGCGGUUGAGACGGCUCGUCUGGAGUGGGCUAGAGGAUCGUGGAAUUCCGGGUGUAGCGGUGAAAUGCGUAGAGAUCCGGAGGAACACCGAUGGCGAAGGCAGCGGUCUGGGGCCACACUGACGCUGAGGCACGACGGCGUGGGGAGC